RNAcentral lists this ribosomal RNA (366 nucleotides) under uncultured organism. Its description in RNAcentral is "bacterial SSU rRNA". It matches the Rfam family "Bacterial small subunit ribosomal RNA", at positions 526 to 896 of the family's 1533-position model. The record is from RNAcentral.
CGGAGGAUGCAAGCGUUAUUCGGAAUCAUUGGGUUUAAAGGGUCCGUAGGCGGUUUGAUAAGUCAGUGGUGAAAGCCCAUCGCUCAACGAUGGAACGGCCAUUGAUACUGUCAGACUUGAAUUACUGGGAAGUAACUAGAAUAUGUAGUGUAGCGGUGAAAUGCUUAGAUAUUACAUGGAAUACCAAUUGCGAAGGCAGGUUACUACCAGUGGAUUGACGCUGAUGGACGAAAGCGUGGGGAGCGAACAGGAUUAGAUACCCUGGUAGUCCACGCCGUAAACGAUGGAUACUAGCUGUUCGGAGCAAUCUGAGUGGCUAAGCGAAAGUGAUAAGUAUCCCACCUGGGGAGUACGUUCGCAAGAAUG